Molecule: ribosomal RNA, 119 nt
Filed under: Plectosphaerella cucumerina
Lineage: Eukaryota; Fungi; Ascomycota; Sordariomycetes; Glomerellales; Plectosphaerellaceae
Description: partial 18S ribosomal RNA
Rfam family: Eukaryotic small subunit ribosomal RNA (bases 1-68)
Source: RNAcentral
CUUGGUCAUUUAGAGGAAGUAAAAGUCGUAACAAGGUCUCCGUUGGUGAACCAGCGGAGGGAUCAUUACUGAGUACUACACUCUCUACCCUUUGUGAACUAUUAUACCUGUUGCUUCGG